Non-coding RNA from Vigna umbellata (rice bean), 270 nucleotides. The record is from RefSeq and is a predicted model, not a curated record. NCBI's taxonomy places the organism in Eukaryota, Viridiplantae, Streptophyta, Magnoliopsida, Fabales, Fabaceae.
AGGCAGAUGAGAUAUACAAAAUAUGUGGUGUGAUAGGCAAUCCAACCCAUGAAUCUUGGGAUGAUGGAUCAAGCUUGCAAGGGAUAUCAACUACCAAUUUCCACAGCUUGCUGGUGUGCAUCUUUCUGCACUGAUCCCGUCUGCGAGCGAUGAUGCAAUCAGCCUUAUCAAAUCACUUUGCUCCUGGGAUCCUGCAAGAGGCCAACAGCUUCUGAGGCCUUCAGGCAUCCUUUCUUUAGGAUGGUCUUUUAAACGAAGCUAAGGUUUGUG